Non-coding RNA from Lipotes vexillifer (Yangtze River dolphin), 1573 nucleotides. NCBI's taxonomy places the organism in Eukaryota, Metazoa, Chordata, Mammalia, Artiodactyla, Lipotidae. The record is from RefSeq and is a predicted model, not a curated record.
CCGACCCUCCCGCCUCGCCCGGUCACCGCGAUGCCCGCCCCGCAGUGCGCCUCCUGCCACAAGGCGCGAGCCGCCCUCCGCCGUCCGCGCUCGGGCCAGGCGCUGUGCACCACCUGCUUCUGCACCGCCUUCGAGGCCGAGGUGCUGCACACGGUGGUCGCGGGCCGCCUGCUGCCGCCCGGCGCCGUGGUGGCCGUGGGCGCCUCGGGCGGCAAGGACUCCACUGUGCUGGCGCACGUGCUGCGCGAGCUGGCCCCGCGCCUGGGCAUCUCGCUGCACCUCGUGGCCGUGGACGAGGGCAUCGGCGGCUACCGGGACGCGGCGCUGGCGGCCGUGCGGCGGCAAGCAGCACGCUGGGAGCUCCCGCUCACCGUCGUGGCCUACGCAGAGCUCUUCGGGGGCUGGACGAUGGACGCUGUGGCCCGCAGCACGGCCGGCUCCGGCCGCAGCCGCUCCUGUUGCACCUUCUGCGGGGUGCUGCGACGCCGGGCGCUAGAGGAAGGGGCGCGCCGCGUGGGAGCCACGCACGUCGUGACGGGACACAACGCCGACGACAUGGCGGAGACGGUGCUCAUGAACUUCCUGCGGGGCGACGCGGGCCGGCUGGCGCGGGGCGGGGCCCUGGGCUCUCCGGGGGAGGGGCGCGCGCUGCCGCGCUGCCGCCCGCUGCAGCUCGCCUCGCAGAAGGAGGUGGUGCUGUACGCGCGCUUCCGCCGCCUGGACUACUUCUGCGAGGAGUGCGUGUACGCGCCCGAGGCCUUCCGCGGCCGCGCGCGCGACCUGCUCAAGCUGCUGGAGGCGGCGCGGCCGUCGGCCGUGCUGGACCUCGUGCACUCGGCCGAGCGCCUGGCGCUGGCCCCGGCCGCGCGGCCCCCGCCCCCCGGCGCCUGCUCCCGCUGCGGGGCGCUGGCCAGCCGCGCGCUCUGCCAGGCCUGCGCCCUCCUGGAAGGCCUGAACCGCGGCCGGCCCCGCCUGGCCAUCGGCAAGGGCCGCCGGGGGCUGGGCGAGGAGGGGCCGCCGGGUCGCCACAGCCGUCCGGACCCCCGACUUCGGAGCCCAUCCCCGGCUUCUAGAGACUGCAGUUCGCCGCUGGGAUCCGACGACGUGGCAGUGCGGGGCCGCCUGUAAACGACACUGUGAAGGAACCCGAGUUACCUUAGCCCGGGCUUCGGUGUGAGGUUGGGAAGGGGUCGAACCCCUUACCUGUGGUCCUGCAGAAGCUGGGGCUCUGGGCUCCUGGGGCUGCGGAGGACUCCUGGGUGUCUGGGGGACCCCUGGGCCUCAGAGAGGAGAGAACUAAACAACUUUCCAUUCCUGAGCGACUGGGAACUAGGGGGCCUCUUGCCUGUACCUCUGUGGGGUUCUGGGCGUGCUCAGAUAGUCCUAACCCUUCUUGAGCGCCUACUGUGUGCCUCUGAUGUUUCAUGUUUGCCUGUAGUGGGAUACGCGAAACCAUGUAACUUGAUGGGCACGUCAGUUACAGCAAUCGUGAUGCUUCUGUGUGCGCGCUGUACACAGGGCAGGCGCUGGAUCAUCUCAUUUCAUCCCCAGCAUGAUCUCAUUGGCUGUAGCC